GACGAACCGUGCGAACGUUGUUCGGAAUCACUGGGCUUAAAGGGCGCGUAGGCGGGCGGCAAAGUCAGGGGUGAAAUCCUCCAGCUUAACUGGAGAAGUGCCUUUGAUACUGGUCGCCUCGAGGAAGGUAGGGGCAUGCGGAACUGAUGGUGGAGCGGUGAAAUGUGUUGAUAUCAUCAGGAACUCCGGUGGCGAAAGCGGCGUGCUGGACCUUUUCUGACGCUGAGGCGCGAAAGCCAGGGGAGCAAACGGG
RNAcentral lists this ribosomal RNA (253 nucleotides) under uncultured Zavarzinella sp. RNAcentral's name for it is "partial 16S ribosomal RNA". It matches the Rfam family "Bacterial small subunit ribosomal RNA", at positions 524 to 776 of the family's 1533-position model. The record is from RNAcentral. Lineage: Bacteria; Pseudomonadati; Planctomycetota; Planctomycetia; Gemmatales; Gemmataceae.